Long non-coding RNA from Dermochelys coriacea (leatherback sea turtle), 1519 nucleotides. RefSeq lists it as uncharacterized. The record is from RefSeq and is a predicted model, not a curated record. The transcript has 2 exons. Lineage: Eukaryota; Metazoa; Chordata; Testudines; Dermochelyidae.
GAGUUUUAACUGUAGACCUGCCCUUAAAUACCGCAUAUCGAGAGGUUUCCCCCAGUCACCUUUCAAACCUAAUAGUAGUAUAACCUUGAUAGCACUCAUCACCAUUCAUUUUUGACAGGUUUCCAUUCCCCCUUUGGGGCUUUUGUCCCACCUUCCCACCCUGUUUCCGUUGGCACCGAAGUUUGGAGCCAGUGGCCAUUUUGAACAAAAAAAAUUGUGCACGUUUGAAUGGGGGAAGUCUUGUGCUUGGAUACAUGGAGAGCCGUUUAAAGUUUGAGUAAGGUUUAUUGAAAAAAAGGGGCUUGUGUAUGGAGAGCUGUUGUUAAAGGAAAGAGAUGAUGAGGUGCUAUAAAAGAAUAGAAAAUGUGAUACACUGAGAGACGUUUGGGUAAGGUUUAUUGAAAAAAGGGGAGCUACUGGUAAAGAAUAGAGUGUUUGUGUUACUGAACACAUGCAGAGCGAAACAUUUUACCCCUUUGACUGUGAAUAGGGGAAGUGUUUGUACUUGGAUACAUUGAGAGCAAAAAGGUUAUAGGCUGUAAUUGAGUACAGAGAGCUGUUUGUGUUACUGAACACAUGCAGAGCAAAACAUCCUACCCCACCAACUGCUGGUAGUGAAAUGAUAGCUGGUUUGUGCAGAGCUCCUGGGAGCUAGCCCCUCCUUUUGGUGGACCAAUCAGAGAUUGUUUUACAGCUAAGUCACAGAAUGGGCUUGUGGAACCAAUCCUAUAGUUCCAUGAUUUAGAGAGGAUCUUUACCUUACAUUAAAAGCUAUAAAAACAGGAUUAAAAAGAAAAUUUAGUAAGCACACGAUAAGAAAGCAUUAAACAAUAUUAAAAACUUGUUGAGUAAGCACAUGGCCAAAAACUUGCUAAAAAGCCAUGUUUAAAAAGGAAAUUUAGUAAGCACAUGAUCAAAAAGUGAAUAAAAAAGCAUUAAAUAAUAUUAAAGACCUGUUGAGUAAGCACAUAGUCAAAAACUGGCUAAAAAAAGAUUAAAACAGGAUUAAAAAGAAAAUUUAGAAAGCACAUGGGUAAAAAAGUGUAUAAAAAAGCAUUAAAUAAUAUUCAAAACUAAGGCAAAGCCUGUUUAGUAAGCACAUGAUAAAAAAAGUGAAUAAAAAACCAUUUAGUAUCAGGGUAGGUUAAAAAAAAAAGAAAUGUUAAAAAAAACAGUGCAAGAAAAGGAAAUUUAGUAAGCACAUAAUCAAAAAGUGAAUAAAAAACCAUUAAACAAUAUUAAAAACCUGUUGACUAAACACAUGGCCAAAAACUGGCUAAAAAAGCAUUAAAAACAGGUUUAAAAAGAAAAUUCAGGAAGAACAGGAUAAAAAAGUGAAUAAAAAAGCAUUCAGUAUCCAGGGAGAUUAAAAGAAAGAACAAGGGGGAAGAUAGAGAGCACAUGGUUAAAUUAAAGAGAGAGAGAGAGAGGAUCUGUACCUUACAUUAAAAGCUAUCAAAACAGGUUUAAAAAGGAAAUGUACUAAGCACAUGAUAAAAAAGUGAAUAAAAAAAGCAUU